CACACACAUAUAUAUGUAGCUUUUUGCAAUAAGAAAAACUCCUGUGCUAUGACUUCCCUUUCAUCCUGGGUGGAAAUCUACAGAAGAAGAUCUCUCUAGGAUACAACAACCUUACAGACUGGUAGCAAGGUCAGCACCAACCAGUUCCAGCACCAACCAGCUCCAGAUUCCUCUUGUCACUAGUCUGCUGGCCUGAGGCCAAGGCUGUGCCAGGCGAUCCUAAGGCUGUGGCUUCUGGAGGCUCUCACAUCCGGGCCACCAAAGACAAUGUUUUACAGGAAUACGGGGUAAAGUCUACGGGGUUCUAGCUGGAGGCCAGCACGAAUACAUGCCUGAGAUCUAAGCCAAGGCAGAGCCACAGUUUCCCUCCUCCCUGUGCCCUCUACGCUCUUCCCUGCCUCCCUCAGCCAGCCCCUCUCCGUCUGGCAGUACUGUUCUCUCAGGCACUGUGUGCUGUGUUUGCCUGGGUUCUUCCCCUGAGUGUCUCAUGUUCCCUCUACCACACAACAUAGCUGGGAGCUGAGAGCCAGGCAUAGCUCACAUACCCCAUGCCUGGCUACACAGCUUGCCCAGACCACAGUGAGCCUUUAGUGACCUCCUCCUCUGUGUUUGGUGACGUGUAGCUUCCGACCUUCUACAGAUAGGCGCUGCUUAACCUCCAUCCUGCUCCUCUCGUGGCUGUGGAAUAUGGCACCAAGCCACUCACUUGCAAACCCAGCCCCUGCUCCUGGACAUUAAGUAGUUGUUAGAAUCUUGGCCUUGUAUGUAAAGGUAUCAAUUAAUUUUCCAAUUCAUCCUGUCUAGGUCAGAUGGAAGGCAUGCCACAAAGGUGUGGCAGUGGCAUACGUGUUCCUCCGAAGCGUCAUCCUGUCUCCUUUCCUCCACGGUACAGCUGUUGACAAUUGGAACUUGCUUUGUGCCUGCCCUGAGUGCUCCUGCCCCAAUAUACUGGGAUUGUGCACCAGGAGACCUCACUAGCUUCUUCUGAUGAUGUUCUCAGUGCCCCCAGUCCUAGCCAUGCAGACGACAGUGACACAGCUCUGCAGCUCCUUUCACAGGGACUCCACAGCCACUGUGUCUUUUUCCUGAUCACUGGCAAGCACUGGAAUGGUACGAAGAACUUCACAUCCCAUUAUGCCCCUACUCAGUCCUCACCAAGACCUGCAGAGGACACGAAGGCUUGGCCAAGCUUGUGCCAAUUGUGCCUCGCUCAAUGAAGAAGCCAGGAUUGGAACUCAAGCCUACCUGAUACCAGAGUCACUUCUUGAAUCUGAGAACCAUUCUCAGAGUGGAGCCACCCUCCCAACCUGGCCCCUGCUUCCUGGAGGUCCUUCUCAAAACAUCUGUGGACUUUUGUCCCAGGCCAUUCUUCUUAGUUGACUUUAAUCUCCUUCAUCUGGAGCCCCACACGAGGAAACAACUCAGUGGACCCCCCAUAACAUUUAGAGGUGAAGGCUGUUUGUUACACAGCUCUACCGUAGCCAUUGCUGACUGAGGCAUACACCCUCCUGGACUGGGCAGUGUUUUCCUGAAUGUCCAUCUCUGCAGUAAUCUAGAGUGAGGUCCUACUAAGUGCUCUGCCCAGAUGAGUUCUUUGGUCCAUCGUUAUGUCAGCCAAACCUGGCACAUAGUGAAGGUAGGGACCAGGAGUGACUUUCCCAUUGCAUGAGCGGCGCCUGAAUAACGUUAACAGUAAUGAGUUUCUAGGUGCUGCAAAGUAGUUGCUUUUUUUUUUUCCUCGUUCAUUUUUCAGUGUAUAAAGCAAUGGCUGCAUUGUGACACUUAGAUGCACAGAUGUCAUCUUACUCGGUUCAUAUUCAUGCUCCUGCAUUACUC
Long non-coding RNA from Mus musculus (house mouse), 1836 nucleotides. RefSeq annotates it as predicted gene, 30812. Lineage: Eukaryota; Metazoa; Chordata; Mammalia; Rodentia; Muridae. The record is from RefSeq and is a predicted model, not a curated record. The transcript has 3 exons.